This 73-nucleotide transfer RNA is filed under the name Dipodomys ordii (Ord's kangaroo rat). It matches the Rfam family "tRNA". From Rfam's summary of the family: Transfer RNA (tRNA) molecules are approximately 80 nucleotides in length. Their secondary structure includes four short double-helical elements and three loops (D, anti-codon, and T loops). The record is from Rfam by way of RNAcentral. Lineage: Eukaryota; Metazoa; Chordata; Mammalia; Rodentia; Heteromyidae.
GGUGGUGUGGCUCAACUGGCAGAGCACCUGCCUGGCAAGCACAAGGCCCUGCAUUCAAUCUCUAGUACCACAA